CCUACGGGUGGCAGCAGUGGGGAAUAUUGCGCAAUGGGCGAAAGCCUGACGCAGCGACGCCGCGUGAGGGAUGAAGGUCUUCGGAUCGUAAACCUCUGUCAGCAGGGAAGAACGGUCACUGUGCUAAUCAGCAGUGAAUUGACGGUACCUGCAAAGGAAGCACCGGCUAACUCCGUGCCAGCAGCCGCGGUAAUACGGAGGAUGCGAGCGUUAUCCGGAUUUAUUGGGUUUAAAGGGUGCGUAGGCGGAGUGUCAAGUCAGCGGUAAAAUUUCGGGGCUCAACCCCGUCGUGCCGUUGAAACUGACGCCCGUGAGUGAGUGAGAAGUAAGCGGAAUGCGUGGUGUAGCGGUGAAAUGCAUAGAUAUCACGCAGAACGCCGAUUGCGAAGGCAGCUUACCGGCGCUCAACUGACGCUGAGGCACGAAAGUGCGGGUAUCGAACAGGAUUAGAUACCCCUGUAGUC
This 464-nucleotide ribosomal RNA is filed under the name uncultured bacterium. Its description in RNAcentral is "partial 16S ribosomal RNA". It matches the Rfam family "Bacterial small subunit ribosomal RNA", at positions 338 to 795 of the family's 1533-position model. The record is from RNAcentral.